Molecule: ribosomal RNA, 392 nt
Filed under: Cercozoa sp.
Lineage: Eukaryota; Cercozoa
Also listed under: 1 other name
Description: SSU rRNA
Rfam family: Eukaryotic small subunit ribosomal RNA
Source: RNAcentral
AGCUCCAAUAGCGUAUAUUAAAGUUGUUGCAGUUAAAAAGCUCGUAGUUGGAUUUCUGGUUUGAUGCCCUGGCCCGCUGCUAUUUUGGUAGUGUGUGCCGGUUGUGCGUCUGCCAUCCUUCUAGGGAACGUUCCUUCUCUUCACUGAGCCGGGUUCGUGAUCUAGAUCGUUUACUUUGAAAAAAUUAGAGUGUUUAAAGCAGGCUUUUGCUAUGAAUACAUUAGCAUGGAAUAAUAAUCUAGGACUUCGGUCAUAUUUUGUUGGUUUCUGUAACUGAAGUAAUGAUUGAUAGGGAUAGUUGGGGGUGCUAGUAUUGAGCGGCCAGAGGUGAAAUUCUUGGAUUCGCUCAAGACUAACUUAUGCGAAAGCAUUCACCAAGGAUGUCUUCUUUA